Periophthalmus magnuspinnatus is the source of this 363-nucleotide long non-coding RNA. RefSeq lists it as uncharacterized. The record is from RefSeq and is a predicted model, not a curated record. Lineage: Eukaryota; Metazoa; Chordata; Actinopteri; Gobiiformes; Gobiidae. The transcript is spliced from 3 exons.
UGUAUAGUUGUGUGUAGUUGUGUGUAUAGUUGUGUGUAUAGUUGUGUGUACAGUUGUGUAUAGUUUUGUGUGUAGUUGUGUGUAUAGUUGUGUGUACAGUUGUGUGUAUAGUUGUGUAUAGUUGUGUGUAUUGUUGUGUAUAGUUGUGUGUAGUUGUGUGUAGUUGUGUGUAUAGUUGUGUGUACAGUGUGUAUAGUUGUGUGUAUAGUUGUGUGUAGUUGUGUGUAUAGUUGUGUGUAUUGUGUGUAUAGUUGUGUGUAUAGUUGUGUGUAUAGUUGUGUGUAUUGUGUGUAGUUGUGUGUAUAGUUGUGUGUACAGUGUGUAUAGUUGUGUGUAUUGUGUGUAUAGUUGUGUGUACAGUUG